This is a long non-coding RNA of Dendrobium catenatum, 336 nucleotides long. RefSeq lists it as uncharacterized. Lineage: Eukaryota; Viridiplantae; Streptophyta; Magnoliopsida; Asparagales; Orchidaceae. The transcript has 3 exons. The record is from RefSeq and is a predicted model, not a curated record.
GAGAAGGAAGAAGAGCUCGUGGUUCCAGGCCUAUAUUCUUCUCGGGAUUGGAAAAAUCUGUCAUUACCGUCGGACUUUCUGGUGGAUAGACAUAUGCCGGAAAAUGUGUCGGCCUAACUGGCGGAAUAUACGCCAGAUAAAAAUUCAAUGGCUGAGGAGAGCUUGAUGUGGCUGUCUAAUUCUAGGGAAGGGCUUGAUGAGGUGCAUGAUAUCUCUCCAUUCUUAGUUCUUUAAGAAAUUUGUAUUUCUUUCUUAAAGAUUAGCCUAGCUAGGUCUAAAACAUGUUAGGGAUUUGUAAUCUUUGUGCAAGUUAAUAGGAAGGUAUAUUGUGCAAAA